RNAcentral lists this ribosomal RNA (462 nucleotides) under Veillonella parvula. RNAcentral describes it as "bacterial SSU rRNA". It matches the Rfam family "Bacterial small subunit ribosomal RNA", at positions 28 to 466 of the family's 1533-position model. The record is from RNAcentral. Lineage: Bacteria; Bacillati; Bacillota; Negativicutes; Veillonellales; Veillonellaceae. RNAcentral also lists the same sequence under 1 other name.
GACGAACGCUGGCGGCGUGCUUAACACAUGCAAGUCGAACGAAGAGCGAUGGAAGCUUGCUUCUAUCAAUCUUAGUGGCGAACGGGUGAGUAACGCGUAAUCAACCUGCCCUUCAGAGGGGGACAACAGUUGGAAACGACUGCUAAUACCGCAUACGAUCUAAUCUCGGCAUCGAGGAUAGAUGAAAGGUGGCCUCUACAUGUAAGCUAUCACUGAAGGAGGGGAUUGCGUCUGAUUAGCUAGUUGGAGGGGUAACGGCCCACCAAGGCGAUGAUCAGUAGCCGGUCUGAGAGGAUGAACGGCCACAUUGGGACUGAGACACGGCCCAGACUCCUACGGGAGGCAGCAGUGGGGAAUCUUCCGCAAUGGACGAAAGUCUGACGGAGCAACGCCGCGUGAGUGAUGACGGCCUUCGGGUUGUAAAGCUCUGUUAAUCGGGACGAAAGGCCUUCUUGCGAAUAG